CAUUGUAUCUGUGGACCUUUUCUACUUUAUUGAAAAGUGUGAAAAAAGGAAAGACAGGAAAAUCCAGGUGCGCUGGAUAAUCUGGCAGACGGCAAAAAGACCAAACCUUGCUGGGACCUUCUCAGAAGAGUCAAAAGACAAACCCAAAAUCCACACGCCCCCGCCCAACAACAAGGGGCGCCGGAGGAGAAGAACAACCGAGGAAAAUCGUAGAGAGAAGACUGCAUAUCAAAUGUGAUGGCAAAGCAGAUGGAGUCGAGCGGUUCUGAAAGAGGAGAAUGUGAAAUGGAAAAAUGGAAAUUUCAGAUUUUGGAAACUCGCCCAGUGUGUUCACUUGCCACCUAAAACAGACAGUUUCUUUGCUUUUAAAAAAAAAUAAAUUGACACAUCAAACCAGACCA
This 401-nucleotide long non-coding RNA is filed under the name Sinocyclocheilus anshuiensis. RNAcentral describes it as "lncRNA (ENSSANG00000048989.1)". The record is from RNAcentral. Lineage: Eukaryota; Metazoa; Chordata; Actinopteri; Cypriniformes; Cyprinidae.